GAGAAAGUAUGCAAGAACUGCUAACUCUUCAUUCCCGCGUCUAACAACGCGGCUUUCCCA
This 60-nucleotide transfer RNA is filed under the name Anoura geoffroyi (Geoffroy's tailless bat). Its description in RNAcentral is "tRNA-Ser". The record is from RNAcentral. Lineage: Eukaryota; Metazoa; Chordata; Mammalia; Chiroptera; Phyllostomidae.